Molecule: transfer RNA, 71 nt
Filed under: Loxodonta africana (African savanna elephant)
Lineage: Eukaryota; Metazoa; Chordata; Mammalia; Proboscidea; Elephantidae
Rfam family: tRNA
About the family: Transfer RNA (tRNA) molecules are approximately 80 nucleotides in length. Their secondary structure includes four short double-helical elements and three loops (D, anti-codon, and T loops). Further hydrogen bonds mediate the characteristic L-shaped molecular structure. tRNAs have two regions of fundamental functional importance: the anti-codon, which is responsible for specific mRNA codon recognition, and the 3' end, to which the tRNAs corresponding amino acid is attached (by aminoacyl-tRNA synthetases). tRNAs cope with the degeneracy of the genetic code in two manners: having more than one tRNA (with a specific anti-codon) for a particular amino acid; and 'wobble' base-pairing, i.e. permitting non-standard base-pairing at the 3rd anti-codon position.
Source: Rfam by way of RNAcentral
GCCCUGGUGGCUCAAUGGUUAAGCACUCAGCUGCUAACUGAAAGGUCAGUGGUUCGAAUCCACCAGAGGUG